Molecule: ribosomal RNA, 403 nt
Filed under: uncultured bacterium
Lineage: Bacteria
Description: partial 16S ribosomal RNA
Rfam family: Bacterial small subunit ribosomal RNA
Source: RNAcentral
AUUGAACGCUGGCGGCAGGCCUAACUCUUGCAAGUCGAGCGAGCGGCGGACGGGUGAGUAAUGUAUGGGGUCUGCCCGAUAGAUGGGGAUAACUACUGGAAACGGUAGCUAAUACCGCAUACUAUCGGAUAACCCAUAUGGGAUUAGAUAGUAGGUGAGGUAAUGGCUCACCUAGCCGACGAUCCCUAGCUGGUCUGAGAGGAUGAUCAGCCACACUGGGACGGAGACACGGCCCAGACUCCUACGGAGGCAGCAGUGGGGAAUAUUGCACAAUGGGCGCAAGCCUGAUGCAGCCAUGCCGCGUGUAUGAAGAAGGCCCUAGGGUUGUAAAGUACUUUCAGUCGGGAGGCGUUACCGACAGAAGAAGCACCGGCUAAGUAAGAGCCAGCAGCCGCGGUAAUAC